This is a non-coding RNA of Electrophorus electricus (electric eel), 163 nucleotides long. RefSeq annotates it as small Cajal body-specific RNA 1. NCBI's taxonomy places the organism in Eukaryota, Metazoa, Chordata, Actinopteri, Gymnotiformes, Gymnotidae. The record is from RefSeq and is a predicted model, not a curated record.
AUGCACUAGAUACUAACCUGACUGUCAGCUGCCCAGGAUCGUUUUGUACUGGUGCACUUCAGUGGCUGUCAGGUCCAGAAUGGUGCUAUAGAGACAUAAGCCCCUGAGAUUUAAGCUCUGAGUGGGAGAUCAUUUACUCAGGUGUUAUGACUCAGGGACACAU